AGCGGCGGAUGGGUGAGUAACACGUGGGGAACCUGCCCCUAAGUCUGAGAUACCAUUUGGAAACAGGUGCUAAUACCGGAUAAUAAAGCAGAUCGCAUGAUCAGCUUUUGAAAGGCGGCGUAAGCUGUCACUAAGGGACGGCCCCGCGGUGCAUUAGCUAGUUGGUAAGGUAACGGCUUACCAAGGCGACGAUGCAUAGCCGAGUUGAGAGACUGAUCGGCCACAUUGGGACUGAGACACGGCCCAAACUCCUACGGGAGGCAGCAGUAGGGAAUCUUCCACAAUGGACGCAAGUCUGAUGGAGCAACGCCGCGUGAGUGAAGAAGGUUUUCGGAUCGUAAAGCUCUGUUGUUGGUGAAGAAGGAUAGAGGUAGUAACUGGCCUUUAUUUGACGGUAAUCAACCAGAAAGUCACGGCUAACUACGUGCCAGCAGCCGCGGUAAUACGUAGGUGGCAAGCGUUGUCCGGAUUUAUUGGGCGUAAAGCGAGCGCAGGCGGAAAAAUAAGUCUAAUGUGAAAGCCCUCGGCUUAACCGAGGAACUGCAUCGGAAACUGUUUUUCUUGAGUGCAGGAGAGGAGAGUGGAACUCCAUGUGUAGCGGUGGAAUGCGUAGAUAUAUGGAAGAACACCAGUGGCGAAGGCGGCUCUCUGGUCUGCAACUGACGCUGAGGCUCGAAAGCAUGGGUAGCGAACAGGAUUAGAUACCCUGGUAGUCCAUGCCGUAAACGAUGAGUGCUAAGUGU
RNAcentral lists this ribosomal RNA (743 nucleotides) under uncultured bacterium. RNAcentral's name for it is "bacterial SSU rRNA". It matches the Rfam family "Bacterial small subunit ribosomal RNA", at positions 94 to 823 of the family's 1533-position model. The record is from RNAcentral.